This 253-nucleotide ribosomal RNA is filed under the name uncultured bacterium. Its description in RNAcentral is "partial 16S ribosomal RNA". It matches the Rfam family "Bacterial small subunit ribosomal RNA", at positions 524 to 776 of the family's 1533-position model. The record is from RNAcentral.
UACGGAGGGUGCGAGCGUUGUCCGGAAUCACUGGGCGUAAAGGGCGCGUAGGUGGCGGUCCAAGUCAACGGUGAAAGCUCGGGGCUCAACCCCGAGUCGGCCGUCGAUACUGGGUUGCUCGAGCACUGUAGAGGCAGAUGGAAUUCCGGGUGUAGCGGUGGAAUGCGUAGAGAUCCGGAGGAAGACCGGUGGCGAAGGCGGUCUGCUGGGCAGUUUCUGACACUGAUGCGCGACAGCGUGGGGAGCAAACAGG